This 20-nucleotide unclassified non-coding RNA is filed under the name Mus musculus (house mouse). RNAcentral's name for it is "oocyte_clustered_small_RNA10234". Lineage: Eukaryota; Metazoa; Chordata; Mammalia; Rodentia; Muridae. The record is from RNAcentral.
AACACCGACGAGACCUACUG